UGGGGAAUAUUGCGCAAUGGCCGCAAGGCUGACGCAGCGACGCCGCGUGUGGGAUGACGGCCUUCGGGUUGUAAACCACUGUCGGGAGGGACGAAUACGGGGCCUCGAAUAGGGGACCCCGGGUGACGGUACCUCCAAAGGAAGCACCGGCUAACUCCGUGCCAGCAGCCGCGGUAAUACGGAGGGUGCGAGCGUUGUCCGGAAUUACUGGGCGUAAAGGGCGCGUAGGCGGUUCGUUAAGUUGCUGGUGAAAUCCCGGGGCUCAACUCCGGGGCUGCCGGCAAGACUGGCGGGCUCGAGCACGGUAGAGGCAGAUGGAAUUCCCGGUGUAGCGGUGGAAUGCGUAGAUAUCGGGAAGAAUACCGGUGGCGAAGGCGUUCUGCUGGGCCGUUGCUGACGCUGAGGCGCGACAGCGUGGGGAGCAAACAGGAUUAGAUACCCGCGUAGUCC
Molecule: ribosomal RNA, 450 nt
Filed under: uncultured bacterium
Lineage: Bacteria
Description: bacterial SSU rRNA
Rfam family: Bacterial small subunit ribosomal RNA
Source: RNAcentral